Molecule: non-coding RNA, 2449 nt
Organism: Salmo salar (Atlantic salmon)
Lineage: Eukaryota; Metazoa; Chordata; Actinopteri; Salmoniformes; Salmonidae
Source: RefSeq, a predicted model, not a curated record
CUGAAGCCAGCAGAGACGGCCCACAGUCCGGAGCCGGCAGAGUGUCCGGCAACAGUGCCCCGUCCAGAGUGUCCGGCAACAGUGCCCCUUCCAGAAUGUCCGGCAACAAUGCCCCGUCCAGAGUGUCCGGCGACAGUGCCCCGUAUACUACAGUUUACUACAGAAUUCUAUAACAAACCGAAGCGCGGAGAUCGCACAGGACAGCAGUACAUAAAGCCUGAAGAAAACAGCAUAAGUUGCAAGAAACGUUGUCAGCGUUUGCAGGGUACAAAUCAAGACCCUGAAAGUCCAAGAACGGAGACGAGAAGCACACUACAUGGCCACCAUGCCUCUUCAACAACUUCAAAAACUCUAAACUUCCACUAUGGGCCUUGGGGGAUCUAAGAGCAAAGCAAAGCAGCCAAAUCAGACAAAGCCAAACAAGAGUUUGCAAAUAUACUGAGAGGAAGCUAAUAAAUAAAUAAAAAAUUCCAAAAGUUGUGUGAGCAGAGCAUUGUUUUUUUUUUAUACAAAGCCUGGAAGCAACAAAAGAGGUCAACAAGCAAGCUUGGUGGAAAUAAACAAGAAGACAGCCGUGAGACAGUUUUACCUAGCAGGCAAACCCCUGCCAAGAAAGACACUAUCACACUAAGGAAGGUGAAGAAAAAGGAGGCUCCUUUGUGAUUCCCGGCGUAACCUCCACAGGAAAUACGUUGCUGAGCAUGGGCAACAGAUUUCAUCAUGCGCCUUCUUCUGAAAGGAGAGACCCUUUUGGGUGAUGACACCACAGGAGAGGCCAAGAAACUUGCCAGUGCAAGACUCAUGAAAAAUUGCGUUUUAUGGCAAAUCAAAUGCUCAAACGUGGUCAAACUUGGCCAUAAUCGAGGAUGAGCUUGUUACCCAGUUCCGGGAAAGGCGCUUUAAAAUGUAGGAGACGUCUGUUCAACAUUCGAUGGCAGGUACCACAGCUACCGGACCUUGAGAGAGAACCUGACUAAUGACUGCCUGAUCCAUAUAGUUUUUUGUAAAAAACUUCACAUGCAUGUAUGCUUCAGAGAUCCAGUCAGUUCACUUCGGGGGUUCACACAAGCAGGUGACGCUCCACACUGGUAUCAUCUAUGUGGCAGAGGAGCCCCCACCCAUCUCUUUCUGCACCUUCUCACCCGACAGCCAUAUGGGCUCACCUGGACCCCAUUCUGGACAUGCUAAAACAGCGGUACCCUACCGUGCAACACCUUCACUUCUUCAAUGAUGGCCCUGCCACCCAAUAUAAACAGAAGGGCAACUUCUAUAUGGUUGGUACUGAACCUGUCAAGAACGGCAUCCAGGGAAGUACGUGGAACUUUUUUGAGGCCAGUCACAGAAAGGGUGCUCCGGAUGGAGUGGGUGGUUCACAGCUGACCUCUUGGUCCACCACGGGAAAGACAUAACUGCAAUGUCUUUCUAUUAGGAGGUAAGAGACUCUGGCACUCAAAUACAGUUGUAUUAUGUCAGUGAGGAAGAGGUGGCAUAAAGUAAGCAUAAAAGGGAACCAUGCGAAUGCACCAGGUUCUUAGUAUCAUGCCUGGCAACCUAUAACGUCUCUGCCAAGCAGCGCAAGGAGUGUGGGAUUGCCCAUGUUAUGGACUCCAAGAAAUCACUCUCCCGACAGUGCCGGCUAAUGGCCACGGUCUCUCACCUCCACAUCAAACAGAUGUCAUUGACCCGGAUGCCUCAGCUCCACUUCGGCCAGAUGUCAUCGAGGCUCACCACACUGGACAGUGGUGCAUUGUGAACUAUGACGAACAACCAUACCCUGGCGUUAUAGCGUUAUACUGGAGGUCGAAGAACAAAAUGUCAAAGUUAAGUGCAUGCACAGGAAUGGAGUCAACAAGUUCUUCUGGCCAAACCCAAGAGAUGAUAUCAACUGGUAUGGGGAUUACCAGAUUGUGUGUCUGAUGCCAAAGCCGCUGUCAGUGAACAAAAGAUCAGAUUGACCACAGUAUCUGGAAGUACUUGGAGGAGCACCUGAAUGUGGGAAAGUGGCAGGUGUGAACUGGCUACCAUAGAAGAAGCCGUCAGCGGCUAGAAAGCAAUGGAGACUGGCUCAGAGAUGAUAACAGAUGGACCUGACACAAUAACAUGGCAAAGACAAACAUGAACAAACAUUUCUAAAGACAAACACAUCUCAAGUAAAAGUGAAGUUAGUAUGGGAAAUAAUUUGUACGGGAAAAGUUAGUACAGGAAAUAGGCCUAUUACAUGAACAUAUUUGACUUUAGUCCUAGUUUACAUUCACUGUUGUGUUUCUAUUGUUAUAAUAAACAUAUUUUAUGUUUGUACGACAAUGUUGUGUUAGGAAAUACAUUUUAGUCCAUAAGAUUAAGACCAAAAGAUGAAGCCUAUUGACUAAAAUGUCUAUCCUAACACAACAUUGUCGUACAAAGUAAAACAUGUCUUGGCCAGAAGAAAUAAAAGAUAUUACUAAAUUGA